Molecule: ribosomal RNA, 1369 nt
Filed under: Salmonella enterica
Lineage: Bacteria; Pseudomonadati; Pseudomonadota; Gammaproteobacteria; Enterobacterales; Enterobacteriaceae
Also listed under: 5 other names
Description: partial 23S ribosomal RNA
Rfam family: Bacterial large subunit ribosomal RNA
Source: RNAcentral
AGCAACAAAUGCCCUGCUUCCAGGAAAAGCCUCUAAGCAUCAGGUAACAUCAAAUCGUACCCCAAACCGACACAGGUGGUCAGGUAGAGAAUACCAAGGCGCUUGAGAGAACUCGGGUGAAGGAACUAGGCAAAAUGGUGCCGUAACUUCGGGAGAAGGCACGCUGACACGUAGGUGAAGUGAUUUACUCAUGGAGCUGAAGUCAGUCGAAGAUACCAGCUGGCUGCAACUGUUUAUUAAAAACACAGCACUGUGCAAACACGAAAGUGGACGUAUACGGUGUGACGCCUGCCCGGUGCCGGAAGGUUAAUUGAUGGGGUCAGCGCAAGCGAAGCUCCUGAUCGAAGCCCCGGUAAACGGCGGCCGUAACUAUAACGGUCCUAAGGUAGCGAAAUUCCUUGUCGGGUAAGUUCCGACCUGCACGAAUGGCGUAAUGAUGGCCAGGCUGUCUCCACCCGAGACUCAGUGAAAUUGAACUCGCUGUGAAGAUGCAGUGUACCCGCGGCAAGACGGAAAGACCCCGUGAACCUUUACUAUAGCUUGACACUGAACAUUGAGCCUUGAUGUGUAGGAUAGGUGGGAGGCUUUGAAGUGUGGACGCCAGUCUGCAUGGAGCCGACCUUGAAAUACCACCCUUUAAUGUUUGAUGUUCUAACGUGGACCCGUUACCCGGGUUGCGGACAGUGUCUGGUGGGUAGUUUGACUGGGGCGGUCUCCUCCUAAAGAGUAACGGAGGAGCACGAAGGUUGGCUAAUCCUGGUCGGACAUCAGGAGGUUAGUGCAAUGGCAUAAGCCAGCUUGACUGCGAGCGUGACGGCGCGAGCAGGUGCGAAAGCAGGUCAUAGUGAUCCGGUGGUUCUGAAUGGAAGGGCCAUCGCUCAACGGAUAAAAGGUACUCCGGGGAUAACAGGCUGAUACCGCCCAAGAGUUCAUAUCGACGGCGGUGUUUGGCACCUCGAUGUCGGCUCAUCACAUCCUGGGGCUGAAGUAGGUCCCAAGGGUAUGGCUGUUCGCCAUUUAAAGUGGUACGCGAGCUGGGUUUAGAACGUCGUGAGACAGUUCGGUCCCUAUCUGCCGUGGGCGCUGGAGAACUGAGGGGGGCUGCUCCUAGUACGAGAGGACCGGAGUGGACGCAUCACUGGUGUUCGGGUUGUCAUGCCAAUGGCACUGCCCGGUAGCUAAAUGCGGAAGAGAUAAGUGCUGAAAGCAUCUAAGCACGAAACUUGCCCCGAGAUGAGUUCUCCCUGAGACUUAGAGUCUCCUGAAGGAACGUUGAAGACGACGACGUUGAUAGGCCGGGUGUGUAAGCGCAGCGAUGCGUUGAGCUAACCGGUACUAAUGAACCGUGAGGCUUAACCUUACAACGCCG